AUGUUUUUUACGUUUGUAAUUUUACGUAACAUAAAAUACUUUUUACGUCGCUUAUAUACACACACACAAUUUCUCCUAAUUGGUGCCUUCGGAGCCAGUGGCAUUAGCCUAAUUGGUGCCUUCGAAGCACGAUAA
This 135-nucleotide ribosomal RNA is filed under the name Triticum aestivum (bread wheat). RNAcentral's name for it is "partial small subunit ribosomal RNA". The record is from RNAcentral. Lineage: Eukaryota; Viridiplantae; Streptophyta; Magnoliopsida; Poales; Poaceae.